RNAcentral lists this long non-coding RNA (1886 nucleotides) under Nothobranchius furzeri (turquoise killifish). Its description in RNAcentral is "lncRNA (ENSNFUG00015000284.1)". Lineage: Eukaryota; Metazoa; Chordata; Actinopteri; Cyprinodontiformes; Nothobranchiidae. The record is from RNAcentral.
ACGAGGACCUUCUUCCAUUUCAGUGGUGCUGUGUUGAGUCUCCUCUGUGUUGGCUUUACCACCAGAAGAGACCAAAGGAUAACUGUCAGGAUUCUAGUUCAGGUGGCUUCAGCAGCACCGUUGCUCCUCUGCUUUCCAGGAAGGGAGUUCAGGGAACUGGUGAGGAAUCCCUGUGAACAAGAAUUAGAAAAACGCCACUUAUUGCUUCAGCUUCACGAUCUGUGUGGUAUGAUUGCAGCGAUGGUGUACGGGAGCUUACAUUUCAUCACCUUCGAUGGAACCAAGUACUCAUUUCAGGCUCUGGGAGAGUUCGUGUUGUUGCGUCUGUCCUCUGCCAGCGGCUCGAAUAUCUUCACCCUACAAGGGCUGCUGGGAAAGCUGCUGACGGCAUCAAAAGAGGUCAUCGACGUCCCGGUGGUGGUGCGCAUGGCUGCCUUCCACCAAGGCACUGGCAAGGUCGGGAUGAGUGUGAGCUGAGCAAACAGUGGCGCUUCAGGAAUGUGAUCCCAAUCACGCUGAAAGAUUUUUAUGUGUUUAACACACCGUGCAGGACUCUCGACGGGGACGGAGAGUCUGAGCUUCGUUCCUGCAGCACCAGAUUCAAUCAUCUCAGAUGACACAAACUUUAAUCUCUAAUUUCCACGUUCCGUUUUCAGAUUGAAUGGAGGUGUUCUUCUGACACAAACGGUGCUCUUCGGAUGUUUGUGGAUGAUGUUGAAGUCCCAGUGAAAAUUGGUGUCGUGUACACGAGCGAGAAGAACUUUGUUGUACGCUGCAUCUCAGUAAGUCGCUGUGCGGCCGUCUAUGCCAGCGGUCUCCAUGUGGUCACGUGGCUAAACGUGGACUACUGUCAGAUGGGCGCCAUGGUGGAGGUCUCUCAGAACUUCUACAAUCGUACCGUGGGCCUCAUGGGCUUCUGGAGCUCCAACCGCAUUGAUGAUUUCCUCCUGUCAGACGGCAGGGUCUUCCCCUCGCAGGACCUCAACCCCCCCACGGAGGAGAAGCUGCAGGACUUUGGCCUAUCCUGGUCAGUCCCAGUGCCCGAAAGCCUGCUGUUGUCAUCGCCUCCAAAGGCUCCACAGGCUCUGACCACCACCAAGGCCACAUUGGAGAGGUUUAGCCCUGCUGUGGUGGCGGAGCAGAUGAAGGCCUGUAAAGACAGUGUGCAGUGUGUGUAUGACUCUCUAGCAUCUGGGAUCGCAGACCUGGGCCAGCAAACUCUGGAUGCUGAGGCACAGUUCCAGACCCUGGCUCAGAUUUACGGCAACGAUCCUCCUGUUGUUACGGAGCCCAAAACCAUCCAGAUUAAGGUCAACAACUCCGUGAGCGUUCAGGUCGUUGCUCAGGACCCGAACGGUGACGUCAUCACCUACUCACUGCUGUCUCCCGCUCCUCCAGGGGCGACUGUUGGGAGUGUCAGUGGAAUUUUAAAAUGGACGCCCAACAGCGUUCAGCCGGUCCAGCUGACCAUCAAGGCCACUGGCUCGUCCACGAGCUCCUUGUUCACCCCCACCCUGCAGGUCUGCGGCUGCCUGAACGGAGGAACCUGCCUCUACGACAGCACUGCUGGAAGCUACCUGCAGGGAAAGUUUCAGGUUCUUGUGCUUUUUAAUUUCUGCUCAUUCUUCAGCGUUCCCUUCAGGAUUCUCGAUCGAUGAAGAACGACAUCUGAGCUUUGCUCUUUGCGUCUGACUCGCAGGUUGUUGGGUGUUUGUGCUCAAACAAAUACAGCGGGAGGUUUUGUGAGAACUCAGCAGAUGCAUGUCUGGGUAAACCCUGUUUUCGAGGGGUGCAGUGCAACUCCCAGUCUGGCCAGUUCACCUGCGGCCAGUGUCCUGCUAAUACUAUCACUAACGGCAUUGAGGGAUACAAAUGCUUUGACCACG